RNAcentral lists this ribosomal RNA (465 nucleotides) under uncultured bacterium. Its description in RNAcentral is "partial 16S ribosomal RNA". It matches the Rfam family "Bacterial small subunit ribosomal RNA", at positions 338 to 795 of the family's 1533-position model. The record is from RNAcentral.
CCUACGGGUGGCAGCAGUGGGGAAUAUUGCGCAAUGGGCGAAAGCCUGACGCAGCGACGCCGCGUGAGGGAUGAAGGUCUUCGGAUCGUAAACCUCUGUCAGCAGGGAAGUACGGUCACUGUGCUAAUCAGCAGUGAAUUGACGGUACCUGCAAAGGAAGCACCGGCUAACUCCGUGCCAGCAGCCGCGGUAAUACGGAGGGUGCGAGCGUUAAUCGGAAUUACUGGGCGUAAAGCGAUCGUAGGCGGUAUGUCAAGUCAAGGGUGAAAUCCCCGCGCUCAACGUGGGAACUGCCUUUGAAACUGGCAGACUGGAGUGUGUGAGAGGAUAGUGGAAUUCCAGGUGUAGGAGUGAAAUCCGUAGAUAUCUGGAGGAACAUCGGUGGCGAAGGCGACUAUCUGGCACAUAACUGACGCUGAGGAGCGAAAGCGUGGGUAGCAAACAGGAUUAGAUACCCUAGUAGUC